Molecule: ribosomal RNA, 333 nt
Filed under: uncultured bacterium
Lineage: Bacteria
Description: bacterial SSU rRNA
Rfam family: Bacterial small subunit ribosomal RNA
Source: RNAcentral
UGCGUAGGUGGUCCGUUAAGUUCGUUGUGAAAUCCCUGGGCUCAACCCAGGAACUGCUUCGAAUACUGGCGGACUUGAGGCCAGUAGGGGUCACUAGAACUGACGGUGGAGCGGUGAAAUGCGUAGAUAUCGUCAGGAAUGCCGGUGGUGAAGACGGGUGACUGGGCUGGUUCUGACACUGAGGCACGAAAGCGUGGGGAGCGAACGGGAUUAGACACCCCGGUAGUCCACGCCCUAAACGAUGCAGACUAGAUUGCAGCGGGUCUUACCCCCGUUGCGGUCGGAGCGAAAUUGUUAAGUCUGCCACCUGGGAAGUACGGUCGCAAGGCUAAA